GACGAACGCUGGCGGCGUGCCUAACACAUGCAAGUCGAACGAAGCUUGACGAACGAUUCUUCGGAUGAAUUCUGAUAUGACUGAGUGGCGGACGGGUGAGUAACGCGUGAGCAACCUGCCUACUAGAGGGAAAUAACAGUGAGAAAUCAUUGCUAAUACCGCAUAUGCCAUGAACAUCACAUGAUGAAAAUGGGAAAAGAGUAAUCUGCUAGUAGAUGGGCUCGCGUCUGAUUAGAUAGUUUGGUAGGGUAACGGCCUACCAAGACGACGAUCAGUAGCCGGGACCUGAGAGGUUGAACGGCCACAUUGGGACUGAGAUA
RNAcentral lists this ribosomal RNA (320 nucleotides) under uncultured bacterium. RNAcentral's name for it is "bacterial SSU rRNA". It matches the Rfam family "Bacterial small subunit ribosomal RNA", at positions 28 to 326 of the family's 1533-position model. The record is from RNAcentral.